This is a long non-coding RNA of Zophobas morio, 636 nucleotides long. RefSeq lists it as uncharacterized. NCBI's taxonomy places the organism in Eukaryota, Metazoa, Arthropoda, Insecta, Coleoptera, Tenebrionidae. The transcript is spliced from 6 exons. The record is from RefSeq and is a predicted model, not a curated record.
UUAUUGAGAAGGGUUAUUGAUGGCCUAAUGACUGCUUUUUUUCUUUAAUAUUGAAGAGUUUGAUCAGAUAUGGUGCGCAUUGCAAAUCACUUUUUUAAGGUCAGCGAUUUGCCAGCGGGCCUUUUACCGUCAACUUCAGGCAUACCCAUUCAAAUUUUUGGAACAGUUAUUGAUUCAAUUUUUAUUGACGUCCUUUUCCUCCAAAGUUCCGGCUUUGAAAAACAAUAACUAGCCUUACAAAAAUUUUGGUGCUGACAAGAUGAACUCUUACAGUACCCUUCUGAAUUGCUUCAGACCUUACAAGAGUGGUUAUCAUCCGCACACCUCGGGAAGCCUACUACCGGGUAAUAAUUAUGGCUACACCAUGGUUUCAGGGAAACCGGCUAGUGCUGCGGGAAAGAGAAAAAAUUUAAAAUGUUCUUAAGCGGCUGGAGCAUUUUUGAGAUGAAUGUUUAGAAGGCUGCCUUCUACUAUUCUCAAACGUCAGUUCUUCGAGAAAAGGGUACUAAUGUGCAUUCCCUCCCCGGUCUGUUUCUGAGUGUGCCUGUGUUCAAUUCGGAGAGACCUGGAAUUACCAUUUCUUCCUGAAGAUUUAAAGAUCAACUAUUUAGAAAUACCGCAAACCCUUAAUUAACA